This 73-nucleotide transfer RNA is filed under the name Capra hircus (goat). It matches the Rfam family "tRNA". Rfam says of the family: Transfer RNA (tRNA) molecules are approximately 80 nucleotides in length. Their secondary structure includes four short double-helical elements and three loops (D, anti-codon, and T loops). RNAcentral also lists the same sequence under 1 other name. The record is from Rfam by way of RNAcentral. Lineage: Eukaryota; Metazoa; Chordata; Mammalia; Artiodactyla; Bovidae.
UUCCUGAUUGUCCACUGGCUAAGACUCUGAGCUUCCAAAGCAGGGGACCCAGGUUCCAGCCCUGGUCAGGGAA